GUGGAUUAGAUACCUCGGUAGUCCUGGCAGUAAACGGUGCACGCUUGGUGUGAGGGGAAUCGACCCCCCUCGUGCCGGAGCCAACGCGUUAAGCGUGCCGCCUGGGAAGUACGGUCGCAAGACUAAAACUCAAAGAAAUUGACGGGGACCCGCACAAGCGGUGGAGUAUGUGGCUUAAUUCGAUGCAACGCGAAGAACCUUACCAAGGCUUGACAUGGAUUUCUAAGCGCGUGAAAGCGCGUGACCCUUCGGGGGACUUCCACAGGUGCUGCAUGGCUGUCAACAGCU
This 288-nucleotide ribosomal RNA is filed under the name uncultured bacterium. RNAcentral describes it as "partial 16S ribosomal RNA". It matches the Rfam family "Bacterial small subunit ribosomal RNA", at positions 773 to 1060 of the family's 1533-position model. The record is from RNAcentral.